GAGGGCGGUAGGCGUAGGUCGUGAUACGCUGUAGCAUGGGCACUACGAGCUUGAUUUUAUGUUACAAUCAAUGAAUUAAUUGAACGUAUAUUCGCUGGUGAGCAGAAAAUAAUCCAUUGAAGAGGACAAAGAACACUCAACAUGAUAAGCAUGAAUACAAUGAGCGUGAUGAUCAGUAUAUUACUGCUAUCACUGGCCCUUCACGCUUGCCAUGCAGAAAAUAACAGCACUAACACAACUGACGUCAUCUCGAAUCGCGCUGAUGGUGUGGUCAGAGAGCAGAUCUUACCUUUGGCAAUUCCACCACUGGAUUUAAAUAAACUUCAACAGGCAGCCAACACUGCAGGGGGACUAGGCUGGAUAUUAUGCCCAGCCAUCCAGGGGCUGCUGGACGCGUUCGACAAGUUUAAAGACAAGGCAGUGCUGGGUGUUGUGAUCGCCAUACUCGUGCUCGAGAUUAUUGCUGUGGCGCUCGUCGGCUACUUGAUCAUUAACAGCAAAAACAGCGCCGAAACGACACCAGAGUUCUACGCCGCCAUCCCGGUACCCGGAGCUGGACUCGGUGCACAGCGCCGUAGAUAUGAUCCCCACGCACCCUCAGAACUUUCCAUGGAUAAGGCCAUGGAAAACUUAUCUAAAGCACGUGAUGCAUACACGUAGUAGGGCAGAGGAAAAAUGAUUGAAAUCCUUGAGUUAUGUGGUAUUUGGUGUUGAAUCGUGAAAGUUAUGUAAGUAUUUAGAUCGUAUUUAUUAUAGAAUAGGUCAAUAUCGGUGUUUUAAAGUUUAAACCCACUUGUAUAAAAGACAUAAUAGCAGAGCGUAUGAUAGCACUUAUUAAAUACUGAUGAAACGAGAAUGUCUAUACUGUUUAGCUUGAACAACUCAAUUGCUCAUGUUCUCGUCAUUUAAAAAAAAAUAAUCAAUUAAAAGCACCAAUUAACUCGUUCCGUUCUGCCAACGAAAUCGAUUAGCGGGAAACAAAUUUUCUUGCAAAUUUAUGAUGUAUAACAUGUACGCGACGAUAAAGCAGCAUAGAAACGCAUUAUUUGUGCAGCUACGGACUGUUUCUAACCGCCAAGCCCACAUGCCUGCAUUUAUUAGAUUCAAAUACGACUUUUCUUCAUUAAUUGAAGGAUAUAAUUUCAUCUUCAGUCCUAAGUACAACACGCUUCCAAUCCGGUGAUGUCUGGCCUUGCGUAAUACAGCGAGAAGAAAGGAACGUAACCAGCCAUCGGAUAUGGACAGACAUCAUAAAUUGAGAAAUCAGGCUGAACGACAUCCUCUUCACCAAAAAGUUUCAAUUUCUGACGACUUACCUGCAUCGUUUCUACUGACGCUUCAAAUGCUGACAGCAGACUGACCUGGACCAUUUUUCUGAAGCGUCAACUGCUGAAAUCUGGCUAAUCUAAACCAUUUUACUAAAGCUUCAACUGCUAACGACUGACUGACCAGAACCAAUUUGCUGAAGCUUCAACUGCUGACGACUGACUGAGCAGAACCAUUUUACUGAAGCUUCAACUACUGACCUCUGACUGACAUGGAUCAUUUUACUCAUGCUUCAAGGACUGAUAUUUGACUGACCUGGACCAUUUUACUUAAGCUCCAACUGCUGACGUCUGACUGACACACUUCAUUUUAACAGGAUUUGAACAUGAUGUCUUUUGACUGAACUGUCACUCAGGGCUUUAAAACAAUUCCAAUAAAACCGAAAUUUAGAUACUGUGGCCAGCCGUGAUGUUAUGCCGUGUUGAUUAACUAGAGCUGUAGCACUGUGUGAUUUAUAACUGUUACUCAAUAUGUAUUAGAACUAACAUGAUAUGUGUUUUUAAAACGUUGCCUUGUGGGUAAUAGAAAAUCAUGAUGUACUAAAGUUGUUGGUAUAUGUGUAAUAGAACUUCUACUGUGGUUGUACUAGAAUUGUACAACCACAGUUAAUAGGAAUGCGACUGUGGUUGUUCUAGAGUUUUUGCUAUAUGUAUAAUAGGAAUGUUACUCCGUUUGGCUAGAAUAAUUGUUGCUAUGUGCGUAAUAGGAAUGCGAUUGUGGUUGUUCUAGAAUUUUUGCAAUAUGUAUCAUAAGAAUGUUACUCCGUUUGACUAGAAUUGUUGGUAUAUGUGUAAUAGGAAUUUACAACGUUUGUAAUAGUAUUAAUGCUUAUUGUGCAAAAGAACUGAUAUUAUAGGAGUACCAGAAGUGCCGCGAUGAGUAUGAGUUUAUUGUGGUAGUACCAAAACCGUAACUACCACGCAGUAAACCAAGCGUAAAUGGUAGCUACGUCAGUAAUAGUUUCCAAUGGUUGCAAACAGUUAUUUACAUUGUAUAGAACAUAGGAUUAAUCUAGGCAAUCGCAGGUAAGGUAAAAAAUGAAUAUUUAUUGAAAGUCGUGAUUUUUAUUCAUGUGAGUUGGUUUAUGAAUAUCAUGAAUUAAGUUCAUGAUUUCUGUUAGAUGAGAGUUUUUCCAUCCGCUACAAUUUUCAUACAGUUUUUCGCUAGGAAACAUGAAACAAGUUUCUGUCUGACUUAAUUAAGAAGCAUGCCGAUUUCGAAAAAAUUCCUCAUGAUCGAGGUAGACAAAAAAAAUAUUUUUGGUUCACUGUCAGAUCGUAAUUUUGUGAACAGUUCUUUUUCAUAAUAAGUGUUUUUUCCUAAUCAUUGUUUUGGCACUUCAUGAUUUAAACGUGGUUUUACCGCAACCAGCUAGCUACAUUCUUUGGACUGAUGACUUUGCUAAGCAUCAUAAACAAUAUUACAUUUUUCAGCCGGGGAAUACGGCACCGACUUCGACCAGAAGUUGAUAUGUUGGCCGACGUAUGAGUUUCGAUCUUUUCUUCUCUGUAGCUGGUAAUUAAGUUAAUUUUAUGUGUGGAGCAAGCGUUUUUCUAACGGUAGUUCAAUAGAAAUGUGGUACAUCGUACUUUCAAAUUACCAAUCAAUACUUUCAAAUGACUGAAAUACCGGUCUUACUGUCUGGAGUUUUUCGAACUGUAUAGACUAUUUACUUCGAUAAUAAUUUGUUGAUGCCAUUGGAUGUUCUCCCAUGCGAUGUCAUAUCAAUCAAGCAAAAAUCAUUGUUCAUGAAAGAAGGUCAUAAAAGUAAUGCAAAAUUUUGAUGGCAGGCCUGUCAUGCACAUUGGACGUUAAGUUCACCGAUCAAAUUUGAUUCUUCACUUAGCUGAAUGCUGUCACAAACAUGAUAAAACUUUAGAAAAAUAAUACUAAGCAUAUGACUUUGAUGUAGAGCCAAAAGCAAUGAUGAAAAUUUACCGAAAUUUAACACAGAAAAAUUCGAUUGAAAUUGGAUUGAAAAAUUAAAGUCCAAUUUCGCCUUAAAAAUUUAUAGUUUUUUGUCUGCAUCUAAAGCGUCUAUUUCGUCUGCAAAAAGGAGCGCCGCUAGUAGGCGAUAAGUGGACGAGUUAGCAUUUCUGGUGAUUGCCUUUCGUUUGCCGUGUCGCUGUAGUCGAUCAGAUGGAGAAUAUCGAGAUGCAUUACCUCUGUGGUUUGUCUUCUUACCUGCUCGCAUCUUCUAUUUCAAGCGAAUCGAUCAAUUGUGCUAUUGAAUUAUUUUGAGAGCGUGAAGUGAGAUGUUCGUUCCCAUUCGUGGGUAAAUUUUCACUAUCGCUCAAUGGACUUUGGCGAGAAAGAAAAGGUUCGUCGAGUAAUGAAUCUGUUUCGUGAUUGAAUUCUUUUGUAGUAUAAGACCUCUUAUGUAUUUCAUCGAUGAGUGGGAAAAUAGGAGUAGUCGUGAAGAAACUCGUGUCCUCACCUCUUCCUCCCCUGAGUGCGUCAAAGGGAAUAUCUUGCAUUCCGCCACCAAAAGGCCACUGAAGUAAUGGUGGAAUUAACGUAUUCGUUUCUCCGUUCCUCUCCCUAGUAACCGAUGCCUGCAUGGGCUCAUCGGGAAACCUUAAUCUCGGUCUAGGUUUGUGAUUAGUUGUACCAAAACGGGGUCCAACCAGCAAGUCCGGGACGACAUUGUGGGAGCUGAAGCCAUUGUUGUACGAACCUAACCAAGGUCCUGUGAAUAAUUGAGAAUUUUCAUUCCUCAGUCCAUUGGCGUAUGAACCGAACUUCGAUUCGUCAGACGGUGGCGAAGCGAUUGAACUCAAAUCAUUUAGGUGAGAACCUAAUCCCAAUUCAUCAAAGUACGACUGAAAAGCAUUGAAAUUUAAACCAUUUAGUUGUAAUCCUGGACCAAAAUUGGGCAAAGGCCCUGAAAAGUGAGGAAAACUCGAUUCCUCGGAAGGCAAAGGUGCGGGUUUGUGCUGUAAAAUUGGUCUUGCAGCUGUUGACUCAUGGAUCAAGUGUUGUUGUUCCUGUCGCCGGAGUUGUUGCUGUUGUUGCAGCAGAAUUCUCUGCAGUAAUUGUUGCUGCAGGAUUCUCUGUUGCUGUAUUAUCCAGCCCACAAGCAGAGGCUGUAAGAUGUUCAAGAUAACUCCUGACAGCAGAGAUCUAGAUCUUCCUCCUCGUUCGUGCACCAGUAGCUGCUCAGGCACGGCCAACCGGGCGGAGCGGACCGAUGCAUUUUUGAAGUUACUUUCUUCGAGUGGAGAUUGUGAUGAAAGUUCCGGUGUUGCAGGAGAAUCAUUUGCGUGCUCAUUGCUUGUAUUUUCACUCUGCAAAACAUGCAGAAAUGUAUCAUCAAUAUUAUAAAUUAUACAGUGAGUUUUGAAAAAA
Hyalella azteca is the source of this 4674-nucleotide long non-coding RNA. RefSeq lists it as uncharacterized. The record is from RefSeq and is a predicted model, not a curated record. Lineage: Eukaryota; Metazoa; Arthropoda; Malacostraca; Amphipoda; Hyalellidae. The transcript is spliced from 4 exons.